CCUCAAAUCCUUUUGGCUGUGUUUCAGCCUUAAGGUUGAAGUUUUCUCACACACAUGUGGUAAUAGGUACUCAGCUGAAGACCUGAUCAGGCUCUCUGCAAACGGAGACAAUGAGUCUCAAUGCCCCUGUCUCAGAGCAGAUUAGGAGGCCCUUGUUAAUGGAGUUGGCUUAAUGCUUUACUGACUUCUCAUAAAGCCACACAGCCUGUAGUAGGAACACUGGUGUCAACUCUAAUUUCUCUGAUACUCCAUUUAAAUAAAGUCAUUACCCAAAGGCCCCCAGGUAUUUAAAGAACAACCUAACAAUAUGGCUACUGCCUCAUGUGCAUGUGGAAUGAUGUUCUCCCUGGAUUGCUGUGCAUGUUGCACAUUCUU
This 375-nucleotide long non-coding RNA is filed under the name Pan troglodytes (chimpanzee). RNAcentral's name for it is "long non-coding RNA NONPTRT000938". The record is from RNAcentral. Lineage: Eukaryota; Metazoa; Chordata; Mammalia; Primates; Hominidae.